GGGAAUGUGGCUUAGUGGUAGAGUACUUGCCUAGCAUGCAAUUUCUGGGUUCAAUUCCUCUGUACCA
This 67-nucleotide transfer RNA is filed under the name Dipodomys ordii (Ord's kangaroo rat). It matches the Rfam family "tRNA". From Rfam's summary of the family: Transfer RNA (tRNA) molecules are approximately 80 nucleotides in length. Their secondary structure includes four short double-helical elements and three loops (D, anti-codon, and T loops). The record is from Rfam by way of RNAcentral. Lineage: Eukaryota; Metazoa; Chordata; Mammalia; Rodentia; Heteromyidae.